UUGCUCUUUCCGGAAUUGAGUGGCAAACGGGUGAGUAACACGUAAACAACCUGCCUUCAGGAUGGGGACAACAGACGGAAACGACUGCUAAUACCGAAUAAGUUCCAAGAGCCGCAUGGCCCAUGGAAGAAAAGGUGGCCUCUACCUGUAAGCUAUCGCCUGAAGAGGGGUUUGCGUCUGAUUAGCUGGUUGGAGGGGUAACGGCCCACCAAGGCGACGAUCAGUAGCCGGUCUGAGAGGAUGAACGGCCACACUGGAACUGAGACACGGUCCAGACUCCUACGGGAGGCAGCAGUGGGGAAUCUUCCGCAAUGGGCGAAAGCCUGACGGAGCAACGCCGCGUGAGUGAUGACGGCCUUCGGGUUGUAAAACUCUGUGAUCCGGGACGAAAAGGCAGAGUGCGAAGAACAAACUGCAUUGACGGUACCGGAAAAGCAAGCCACGGCUAACUACGUGCCAGCAGCCGCGGUAAUACGUAGGUGGCAAGCGUUGUCCGGAGUUAUUGGGCGUAAAGCGCGCGCAGGCGGCUUCCCAAGUCCCUCUUAAAAGUGCGGGGCUUAACCCCGUGAUGGGAAGGAAACUGGGAAGCUGGAGUAUCGGAGAGGAAAGUGGAAUUCCUAGUGUAGCGGUGAAAUGCGUAGAGAUUAGGAAGAACACCGGUGGCGAAGGCGACUUU
Molecule: ribosomal RNA, 676 nt
Filed under: uncultured Peptococcaceae bacterium
Lineage: Bacteria; Bacillati; Bacillota; Clostridia; Eubacteriales; Peptococcaceae
Description: bacterial SSU rRNA
Rfam family: Bacterial small subunit ribosomal RNA
Source: RNAcentral